UAUAUCUGCAACAUACACCUGAGUGUAGAUACAAUAGUAUAUGCCUAAUACAUUGCAAACAAGUCACAACACAGAAGAUGUUUUUUGUCUGCUCCAUACUCGUCUUAUAUCUGUGCUCCUUCUGCGCCUCUAACAUAACACAGAAGCCCUCAUUACAGACUUCCGUAAGAAAUGACUUGAAUAUCACCUGUGAACAUGAUGCCCUCGUGGGAACUGCCUAUAUCCAUUGGUAUAGGUUAUCCGCUGGUCAUCGGCCAAUCUAUCUAAUUGGAGACUUUAAGGAUCACGAGACAACAGAUAAGAGGUUUAAGCUGACCUUUGUUGACGGCAAGAAGUCCAACAUACUCCUCAUAAGAGAUAUCAGACCUGAAGACAGUGCUGUGUAUCUGUGUGCUAAGAGUGACACAGAGCUACAAGUGUAUUUCCUGCCUGUACAAUAUGUCAGAAUGCAACUCAUUGAAGUUAUGACGGAUAAAUACAAGCUAAGAUAUAUUUUAGUUUUCAUGGAUCGAGGUAGUAUGCACUUUAGAAAUUAGAACCUCAGUGAACAUGUUAGCAAGCUUUUCACAUCUUGAGAAGGUAUGGGGAAUUCUUUAAUGGGUGGAAUUUUAGUUGAAAAACUGAGCAGCCAUAGAGUCAGCUGUUUAACCACUUACAUACAG
This is a non-coding RNA of Rana temporaria (common frog), 662 nucleotides long. NCBI's taxonomy places the organism in Eukaryota, Metazoa, Chordata, Amphibia, Anura, Ranidae. The record is from the annotation of a RefSeq genome assembly.